Phyllopteryx taeniolatus (common seadragon) is the source of this 2723-nucleotide long non-coding RNA. RefSeq lists it as uncharacterized. The transcript is spliced from 3 exons. Lineage: Eukaryota; Metazoa; Chordata; Actinopteri; Syngnathiformes; Syngnathidae. The record is from RefSeq and is a predicted model, not a curated record.
CCCGAGCCCACGCCAUCGAAUCCUCUCAGAUGUCCUGCGGGACGUCCUGAUCUCUGUAGCCUGAAUGCGGAAGGAAAAAAGAGCAGUGUCUUUUCUUGCUUAAGUUGAAUGUGCAAAUAAAUGUCAGCGUUGUGACUGACUUGCGAGGAUGACCAUGUCCAUGCCCCAGAAGAUGCUCAUGAUCCAGCCCACCAUGAUGACGGCCGUCGCCACCUGGAUGAGCGCCGCCGCCACGUUGAGCCAAAAGACGCAACAGACGCCGCGCUGGGCCGCCAGCUCGCUGCGGGCGCCGCACAGCACCGUGAAAGCUGAGAUGAAGGCCCAAAAGAAUCAGACUUGGAAAGCACAGAGGGGCUGGAUCAACACUUUACGAAGUGGACAAAGAGCGCCAUCUGCUGGCCAAAAAACACCAUUAGGCAAGUUCAGAUUUGCAUAUGUGUCAACUACACGAAUGAGUAUGAAGCUAUUAAAAAAAAAAAAAAAAAAUUGUCAUUUUGAAGCAAUUAGCGGUAAUAUGUUUCUAUAAGAGCUCUAAUUACAAAUACAAUACAGUUCAAAUACUGUACAAUAUAUAGGAAACAAUCAAAUACAAUGAUUUCACACAGCUAAAGAAUAUGAAUAUGAAAAUGUUAAUUAAAUUUGUUACAAAAUAAUUAUUGGUUAACAAUGGUUUUGUAAUUUGUUUUUUGAAGUAUGAAACGUCUUAACAAGUGCAAUCAACAUACAAUGAAAUUGGUUCAUUUCAUAUAUUUAACCCCAUUUCGAAAAAAGAUUUUUAAAAUGAAAAAUGUGUAAAUUAUCCACCUUGAAGCAUUGUUUGUGACUAGUAAUGCACUAAAUUUGGAUUUAAAAAGUUAGUAAAGGAGUCAAUAAUGACAUAUAAACAAUGCUGUUUUGAAUGUUUGUUUCUGACAUUUAUGGGUAAUUAAUUAAGCCCCAGGUCAAAUUGACCCAUGGUCAUUAUUGCUGAGCCUAAGAGAGGAAACUAACAGGAGGGUUAACGUGUUCAAGUGUGUUUAUGCACUCUCAAAAGGAACGUCAGCAUAGCAACAGUUAACAACCAACCCUUCAAGAAGUUUGUCACAGUUUCCUCUCCGACGGCUGCCAUUCAUUAACGUCCCGGUGUCGCCACUGGCUUCUUGUGACUUCACACCUUCGUCCCUUCCCGGCACGCACACGCACGCACACACACGUGAAGUAAGUCUCGUCCCCCAUAGGAAAUUGGAUCGCUGUAGCUAAAGAAUCCCAAGAAUGGAUUGAGCAUGGUCCUCCUUCAUUAGGAUACUUUUUAGUUUUUGGAAAAUUCAGCGCCCAAAGCUAGUUUUGCUCAGCAACAUAAAAUUUGGCAGGUGUGAUUGCCUUGAGUAGACCCACAAAAAAGUCUCAGGAAGCAAUGCCCUAAAAGACACAUGAAGUCAGCCAUUUUGGUUUGAAGCGUCCACUUUUUGGGUUCGUUUGGCAGUUUUUUUUUUUUGUCGAAAGUUGAGCACCCAAUCCCAGUUUCUUUGGAACGUGAAAUUUCUAUCAAGAGUUGACCUGCCAAAAAGGUUUCAAGAACCCAUCCCCGAAAAGACACAGGAACUCGGUCAUUUUGGUUUGAAGCGGCCAUUUCGGUGUCAUUUUGGCCUUUUUUUUUUCCUGCCUCAGAAAGCAGCAUGAAAUUUGGUAGGUGUGUCUUUCAAGAGUAGACCCACAAAAAAGUCUCAAGAAUCAUUGCCCAAAAAGACAGAAAGUUGGCCAUUUUGAAAUUGACAUUUUAGUGUCAUUGUCACCUUUCUUUCAACAUCGAAAAUAAAACCCUCAUUUCACCUGGCAACGCAACAUUUUGGCGGGCCUGUCAGCAAUUUUGGUUUAAAAUGGCCGUUUUGACCCUGGAGUCGAUAAUUUGUAUUUCCGUGACUUCCCAUGCGUGUUUACAUGUUUAACGGUGAUGUAUAGCUUCCUCGUACACACAAACACGCACAUCCAUCACACGCGUUCUUGCGUCACUGGCAUUUUACACCACCCAACAAACCACUUAUUAUAUGCGCAGUACAUUUGUAUUUUUCCUCAUGGGACAGAUAAGAUAUCAUCUCGUCCGACUCCGUGUCACUGUCUCAUAUUUCCAGGAAAUACACACGUCCUCAAAAUAACCUGUCACUUCCCAUUUGGCCACAUUUGCCCAAAACGUAUAUGCGCCACGGGGGCACGCAUCACACUGAUGCGCGCACACGCCCCACUGAGUUAUUAGCGUGUGUGUGUUAGGGUCAACAUGAGACAGGAAGUAGCAAACAAGAACUUCCCGAGGAAGACUAUUGUCACACACACACACGCAGAAACACACUCACACGGACACACAAUGUCAAGAAAAAAAUCCUGGAUUUUUAGUACUUCAAAAAUAUAAAAUGGUAAUUAGUCAAAAAAAAAUAAUUAUCAGGUAUAUAUUGAAAAAAAUAAGAUCACUCCCCCAAAAGUCGGGAAAUAAAUAUUUACCAAAAAACAAACAAACAAAAAAACUUAAAUGGCAAUUAGUCAUUGCUCAAAACAGGAAAAACAAAUUAAUUGAAUUGUAUUAAACCUUUAAAGGACAAAUCUGAUACAUUUAUAGUGUUGUUUUUUUAUUCGAAUGGUAAUUUUAUAAUUCUAACGCAUUUAUUAUAUAUACUUUACAUCUUAAAACAUUUCCCACUAACUAUUUUUGCCUGUUGUACUCAUUUUACGUGUAUUUUAUAUUGUGCACUUGC